Nycticebus coucang (slow loris) is the source of this 75-nucleotide small nucleolar RNA. RefSeq annotates it as small nucleolar RNA SNORD28. The transcript has a single exon. The record is from RefSeq and is a predicted model, not a curated record. NCBI's taxonomy places the organism in Eukaryota, Metazoa, Chordata, Mammalia, Primates, Lorisidae.
AUAAGAUGAUUUGAAUUGAUAUGCUUUUGCUUUAUGAGGUAUAUCAGUUAAUGGCAUGUUAGAGUUCUGAUGGCA